Myotis lucifugus (little brown bat) is the source of this 75-nucleotide non-coding RNA. The record is from Rfam. NCBI's taxonomy places the organism in Eukaryota, Metazoa, Chordata, Mammalia, Chiroptera, Vespertilionidae.
GGUGGUUCUCGGGUGACACCCCCCAGAAUCAGGCUCCUACUUCUCUGGUUUCAAGUACAUCACCCGAGAACUGCA